AUUUCAAUCUCUCACCCAAGCCCUACUGAAACCCUAGCCGCCCCCAAAUUCAUCGCCGCCUCCGCCGCUAACCACCACCGAAAAUCGACUCAUGGCGGUUCCAAUGUUCCAAAUGGCCCCAAAUCAACACCCAGAACCCCCGUCAUCUCCUCUUUCCAAAUCUCUAACCGAUUUCUUUCAAAUCAUCACCAAACAUCUCGAAUUUCAAAUCCGAGUUUCAAUCCCAAAAACCCUAACAUCUCCAAAUCAACCCAAAACUUCACCAUGCAAUCUCCUCCCCCUCUUUUUACUUAAUAUCCCCUUGGUUCCCCUCGAAUCACCACCAAUCCUGUCGAAUCUUAAAUCUAAGAUUCUGCAAAAACCCUAGUUUUCCCUUUGUUCUUUUACUCGGUCAGUGUUUGGAACAUGUGAAUCUAAAACGCCCAUUAGCCGACUGUUCUUAACAAAGAACAGUCGAUUAAUGGAUGAAACAAGUUCAUAUCCUCCCCUUUGAAGUUUGGACAAGUUCUUAACUGCUCAAGUUUUGAAUAAGCUUAGGUAAAUUUCUUUCUUUCUUUUUGUUUGUUUUACCUUUUGUUCUUCUUUUGCAUGUUUAAUUGUUUUAUUCUGGCCACAUGAUUUAGUUUGGCGAUUUUAGGUUUUCUUUCAUUUUAUUCACAGGUCUUUAGUUUCAUUUGGUUGUUUUUGUUUAUUAGAUUAAUUAGAACAUGAUGAAAUCUCUGUAUUUGAAGUUUAUUUUUAAUGGCAUAGAUUUAGUUUAAUUAGGAUUCACUUUUAGGUUUGACACAUGAAAUGAUUCUGUUGUUCCUUUCGUGUUUUUGUCCUAUGUUCCUUGCUUGUUUUAGGCUAAUUUUCUAGUUCAUCUUUGCUUUUCCAUUCUAAUUUUGGAUUAAAUACAGUGUAGGUUCAUUAAGUUAAUUAUUAAGUCUCAUGUGUAUUGCCAUGUUUGUUUCUUUAUUUGCCCUAUGUGUUUGUCUAAGUUCAAUUCUUGUUUAGGUUUAAUUAGGCAAACACUUCUAUUUAUUGAUUGAUUUAGUUUUUAGGUUUAGAUUGCAGCCUCAUGAUUCUAUUAGGCAUUUUAAUUUGAAUUUUUGAUCCUUUCUGGUUUUGUAUUGUUUGCCUUAGUUUGCAAAAUAGUAGGAACUUGUAGGGGCUUAUUUGAAUUAAAAGAAACUUAGGAUAAGUUUCAGAAAAUAUCUAAGAAAAAAAACUUUCUAGAAAGUGUACAGCUGUCCUAGCUGUUAUAAAAGAUGCUGAAAUAUAGGAUAAAAAGGGACAGCUAUACCAGGACUAUAGAAAAGGACAGUACUAUUUUUAGCUAUAGGAUAAGGAAUAUUCCAAAAGAGUACCUAUCCUAGGCAGCUUAUAUAUAGAUAUUAUGCCUCAAAAACAUAUCAGAUUUUGAAACCCUAAGAAAUACAUUCUAAAAAGUUCAGCUAUCGUAUUUUCCUCUAAUUUUAGCAAAAAUUGAAGAACUUCUUUGAAGAUUUCUGGUUUUCAUCAGUCAAAAUGGUUUGAAGCUGAAAAAUUCUUCUUUUAGGAUCUAUUUGGUUGUUGUUCAUUACUGUGUUUUCCUUUAAAAGAGCUUGGUUGAACUCCAGAUUUGAUUUUGAUCUCUUAUUCUGAUCUUUCUGCUGUUCUUCUUUUCUUUUCUGCACUUAGGUAUGUUUCUCUUAUCCUCUGUAAUCAUUUGUCUGGAAUAGCUGAAUGUAAAGCUUUUGGUUGUUAAAUGCCUCUGCUCAUUUCCAGUUUGUUUGUUCUUUAUGCCCAUGAUUCCUUCAAAUGUGUUAAUGUAUUACUUCACUAGCAUGUUUGAGCAUAUUACUUAGCCAAGUUCUUACAUGAAUGAAUGCUAGAAAAGUUUGAACAUGAAUAACCUAGCUGAUACUUGAAUGCCUUGUAGUUUAGUUUGCAAAAAUAGCCUUGUUUAUGUCUAUAGCCAAACUCUUGGUUAUUAAACGUGUUGGUUAUGCUUUUUCCAUCUUUCUUUCAUCUGUUGGCUUCCUCUUCACUCAGAACCAUUUGUUUUCUUUCUUUGCCUGUUUGGCUAUGGGCUGCUGCCUGCAGAUUUGGUCACUGUUUGGCCAAAUCAGCAGGUUCAAAGCUAGAAAGUGGGAAUCAGUCUGCAUUAACAAAAGAAGACCAAGCUCUAAUAGACAAAUCAUGUCCAAAAGAGGCAGAGGUUUCCUCAUGAUAUUAGUAUAGUAAUUUGUAAUAGUUUAACCUUUUAAUGUAAUUGGGUUAUGUAACAAAUCUUAAUGUAAUGUGUUGAUUUUGAAAGUUGCUUAUUCUACUUUGGAAAACUGAAAUAAAUCAUGUAUUAAUGUUGAUGCAUUAGGAGCUUAAUUAUGUAUUUGUCAUAUUUUACAAAGUAGUAAUAAUUCUAGAUUUGAGCCCACUCAGCAGACUCAAAGGCUGUUCAUUUGAUGAAAAAAGGGAUUGAAUUUGUAACCCAAGUGACAGACUGACCUCAGGUGAUUUGGGCCUAGUCUAUAGGCCCAAACUUUGAGUCAGUCUAGGAGCCUUUUAUUAUGGAUUAUUUUUAUGUCAAGAGAUUAAUUUUCAGUACCCGGCAUGUAUAUAUUUCUAGAAUUUUAACGUGUUAGUACAAUAGUAUAUGUAGUGGUUGAAUAGUUUCACAGUUCAAAUUCAUGUUGUUAGCAUUAAUAGCAAUGUAAUAAUUUCAAGGUUUAUAAUAUGGUUGUCAG
Molecule: long non-coding RNA, 2708 nt
Filed under: Nicotiana tabacum (common tobacco)
Lineage: Eukaryota; Viridiplantae; Streptophyta; Magnoliopsida; Solanales; Solanaceae
Description: long non-coding RNA (NTAB_LNC010129)
Source: RNAcentral